RNAcentral lists this long non-coding RNA (240 nucleotides) under Nicotiana benthamiana. Its description in RNAcentral is "long non-coding RNA (NBEN_LNC022367)". The record is from RNAcentral. Lineage: Eukaryota; Viridiplantae; Streptophyta; Magnoliopsida; Solanales; Solanaceae.
AUUUCUGCUACUAUGCCUCCUGUUUACUGUUUAGUUCAGUUACUUUUUUUUUCUUGCAAACAAGAAGGGGAAAAAAUAGGCGAUUCGAAUCCCCGUUCUUCUGAUUUCCUCUUGUCUGCUUUCUUGCUCAUGCCAAUGCCUAACAAAACAGUUAAGAAAUCUGCAUGGGAUUCUGUACCAAGAACAUCGGCUUCUCAUGUCGAUCUUCCGUUCGGCCAAUUGGACAGCGUCAUCUUCGUU